CAGUCGCCGCGGGAAUACGUAGGUCCCGAGCGUUGUCCGGAUUUAUUGGGCGUAAAGGGAGCGCAGGCGGUUUAGUAAGUCUGAAGUUAAAGGCACUGGCUCAACCAAUGUAUGCUUUGGAAACUGUUAGACUUGAGUGCAGAAGGGGAGAGUGGAAUUCCAUGUGUAGCGGUGAAAUGCGUAGAUAUAUGGAGGAGCACCGGUGGCGAAAGCGGCUCUCUGGUCUGUCACUGACGCUGAGGCUCGAAAGCGUGGGUAGCGAACAGGAUUAGAUACCCCCGUAGUCCCUGUCUCUUAUACC
This 301-nucleotide ribosomal RNA is filed under the name uncultured bacterium. RNAcentral's name for it is "partial 16S ribosomal RNA". It matches the Rfam family "Bacterial small subunit ribosomal RNA", at positions 509 to 808 of the family's 1533-position model. The record is from RNAcentral.